GACGAACGCUGGCGGCGUGCUUAACACAUGCAAGUCGAACGGAAAGUCCCUGCUUUUUUGCGGUGCUCGAGUGGCGAACGGGUGAGUAACACGUGAGUAACCUGCCCUUGACUUUGGGAUAACUUCAGGAAACUGGGGCUAAUACCGGAUAGGAGCUCCUGCUGCAUGGGGGGGGUUGGACAGUUUCGGCGGUUGGGGAUGGACUCGCGGCGUAUCAGCUUGUUGGGGGGGUAGUGGCUGACCAAGGCUUUGACGGGUAGACGGCCUGAGAGGGUGACCGGCUCCGUUGGGACUGAGAUAAGGCACAGCCUCAUAUGGGACGCAGCAGUGGGGAAUAUUGUACAAUGGGAGGAAGCCUGACGCAGCAAAGCCGUGCGCGGGAUAUGGGGCUGGGGGUUGGAAAGUGAUUUUGUUUGUGAGGAAGCGUGAGUGACGGUAAUGGGUAAAGAAGCCCCGGCUAACUACGUG
Molecule: ribosomal RNA, 468 nt
Filed under: uncultured bacterium
Lineage: Bacteria
Description: partial 16S ribosomal RNA
Rfam family: Bacterial small subunit ribosomal RNA
Source: RNAcentral